UACAGAGGUCUCAAGCGUUGUUCGGAAUUACUGGGCGUAAAGGGUGCGCAGGCCGCGCGGGCAGUCAAAUGUGUAAUCCAGGGGCUCAACCCCUGAACUGCGCUUGAUACUUCCGUGCUCGAGCUUUGGAGAGGAGUCUGGAAUUCUCGGUGUAGCAGUGAAAUGCGUGGAUAUCGAGAAGAACACUUAGGGCGUAGGCAAGACUCUGGACAAAUGCUGACGCUCAUGUACGAAGGCUGGGGGAGCAAACAGG
Molecule: ribosomal RNA, 253 nt
Filed under: uncultured bacterium
Lineage: Bacteria
Description: partial 16S ribosomal RNA
Rfam family: Bacterial small subunit ribosomal RNA
Source: RNAcentral